This 511-nucleotide ribosomal RNA is filed under the name uncultured bacterium. Its description in RNAcentral is "partial 16S ribosomal RNA". It matches the Rfam family "Bacterial small subunit ribosomal RNA", at positions 28 to 507 of the family's 1533-position model. The record is from RNAcentral.
GACAAACGCUGGCGGCAUGCCUAACACAUGCAAGUCGAACGGACAGAACAGGCAUGCUUUUCGGAGUGGAACGGGAAAGUUGGUGGCGGCUGGGGGGUUACCGCGUGGACAACCUACCUUGUAAAGGGGAAUAACCUCGAGAAAUCGAAGCUAAUACCCCAUAAUAACCUUGCUUCGCAUGAGGUAAGGCGGAAGGGCGUCCUUAGCGCUGUCGAUACAAGAUUGGUCGGCGUCUGAGUAGCUAGUUGGUGGGGUAAAGGCUCACCAAGGCGACGAUCAGUUGCCGGCGUGAGAGGGGGAACGGCCGCAUUGGGAGUGGGACACGGCCCAAACGCCUAAGGGAGGCAGCAGUGGGGAAUCGUCGGCAAUGGGGGAAAGCAUGACGGAGCAAUGCGGCGUGAGUGAAGAAGGCCUUCGGGUUGUAAAACUCUGUCCUUAUCGAAGAGAGAGUGUUGUAGGAACUGACAAUACUAGGACGGUAGAGGAGGAGGAAGCCCCGGCUAACUAUGUG